CUCCUUCCUUCCCACAAAUUUCCCCUCAGCUUGAGUAGAAUCUGCAACCAACAAGCUCUUAAGAUGACUCCAAAGGCUUUGCUCAUUCCCAUCUCCAUCAUAGAUCAGGGUUUUCCUGAAACAAACUCUCAUCAUCUGAGAAAACCUGCAUGCGCCUCUGCUGUCUGCACCCCAGAGGGAACCAGCAGUGUGCCCUGGGAAAAGCUGGGGCCCCACAGGUCCCAGUCUCUGAACAGGGUCUCGUAUAAAGAAGCACCAUCCAGUGACUGUUGCAGCGUGCACUGGCAUCUCGAAGACGGCAUCAACGAAGAGAUCAAGUACUCCAAGAAAGAAGGAAAAAAGGGAGAGAGAGAAGAUCCUUGCAAUGAUGAAAUCCCUUCGACUUUGCCGUCGCAUCUUUCUCCACACAGGGUCGCAGAAGAAAGCAACAACAUGGACCACUCGCCAUCGUCUCUUUGAACAGAGAAGCUACUGCUAUCUAAAGUAGAUUUUAUUAGAGCCCUAGGAAAUGAGAAAUUAUUAUUUCAGAAGCAUCAUUUUUCCUGCUGGGUGGAUGUACAGAGUAGUUGGGGGAGAUGUAUUUUAGCCGUUGGUCCUAGUCACUGUUUUUUUUCCCUGUUAAUCCCGAGACAUUUUUCUUUUUCUUUCUUUCUUUCUUUUUUUUUUGAGACAGAGUCUCACUCUGUCACCCAGGCUGGAGUGCAGUAGCAUGAUCUUGGCUCACUGCAACCUCCGCCUCCCAGGUUCAAGAGAUUCUCCUGCCUCAGCCUCCCGAAUAGCUGGGACUACAGGCACACGCUGCCAUGCCUGGCUAAUUUUUUGUAUUUUUAGUAGAGACAGGGUUUCACUGUGUUAGUCAGGAUGGUCUCGAUCUCCUGAUAUCAUGAUCCGCCCGUCUCAGCCUCCCAAAGUGCUGGGAUUACAGGUGUGAGCCACCGUGUCCGGCCCAAUAAUAAAAAAAAAUUUAAAAAAAAAUUAAAAAAAAAAAAAGUUAGAAUUACAGGCACCUUUGCUGGAAAGCAGGAUUCCUGGGCGGGUGACAGGCACUAGAGCCAUC
Long non-coding RNA from Macaca mulatta (Rhesus monkey), 1057 nucleotides. The record is from Ensembl. Lineage: Eukaryota; Metazoa; Chordata; Mammalia; Primates; Cercopithecidae.